UUCCCGUACUUGGUGUUACUGCGAAGGGGGGACGGAGAAGGCUAUGUUGGCCGGGCGACGGUUGUCCCGGUUUAAGCGUGUAGGCUGGUUUUCCAGGCAAAUCCGGAAAAUCAAGGCUGAGGCGUGAUGACGAGGCACUACGGUGCUGAAGCAACAAAUGCCCUGCUUCCAGGAAAAGCCUCUAAGCAUCAGGUAACAUCAAAUCGUACCCCAAACCGACACAGGUGGUCAGGUAGAGAAUAC
Molecule: ribosomal RNA, 243 nt
Filed under: Salmonella enterica
Lineage: Bacteria; Pseudomonadati; Pseudomonadota; Gammaproteobacteria; Enterobacterales; Enterobacteriaceae
Also listed under: 7 other names
Description: partial 23S ribosomal RNA
Rfam family: Bacterial large subunit ribosomal RNA
Source: RNAcentral